GUGUCCAGCCCUUAAUGAAGAGGAGACCCAAAGUGGGUAGCUCCUUUCUGCAGCUGGUAGUCCCUAUGUCUGUGUGAAUCUGGCUGAGUCUGGGAUUUUUAUGGGCUCAGAAAGGAGGAAGUGUGUGCCAAUUGGUCCAUGAGUGGCCAUGGGCAGGCCUGGAAAAAGCAUCAUAAGUUCUCACUCUGGGUCACAGACUCCACCUAGAACCGGCAAACUGGCACCCAGGCUUCAGGCCGUCCCUGGCUUGAAGGUGGGGUUUCACCAGAGAACCACCCCUUUCUAUCCAGGAACCUGUCUGCCUGCUGCCAUCAACAUGCCAUCUAUGGCAUCCAGGUGGUUUGUGCUGAGGUGCACCUGAAAGUCCGUGCUGAGCUGCCCUCAGCACCCCCCCGGACUCCAUCCCACACUUGUCAGGGCCCAAAAUCCAGAGGGAGCUGAGGUGGCAGGAGGCUGGCAUGGCAGUUCCACCCUGGGCACGUACACACCCAGCAGGGUUGCAACAGCACCUGGGAUUGGCCACAACUUUGCUCCAAAUUUGGAGCAUGCAACAGCCCCUGAGAUUCAGUAAAGGAUGCUCCAAUUCAGUAAAGGGCAGGGCUCUUACCUGUUUCUGGCCCCUGCCAGUCCCCCAGAGUACACAGCCCCAGUCACACCUCCCCUGCUACAGCCAGCAUCUUUGCUGUGGUGGCUCCAGACAGGCUGCCACUGCCAUCAAGGAGUGAUUAUUAAAGGCAUUAAGACAUCUCCCUUGCUGCAGCUGGCAUCUUCGCUGUAACGGAUGCAGAUGGGCUGCAGCCACCAUCAAGGGGUAAUUAUUAAAGGCAUUAAGAGAGAAUGUCCAGCAUCAGAGCUGAAAUUAAUGCCAGAAUUCACACACAUCCUAUUUAUACUGCCAUCAGUCACAUGGAUUUGCACUUUUAGUGAGCAUUGUCUUUCCAGUAUAUAAUAUUUAAUCUUUAAUAAAACUGUUUUUAAAAAAACUGUAUUAGACAGUUGUCCUUCACAAAGUGCUUAGUUAUUGGAACAUACAUUUUUGUGCAAAUGCAACUAUUUCUUGGGAGUGUUUUCAAGAAACAGAUCAAAAAUGAGAUACAAGGAGGUGAAAUUGACUUUAAUUGUACUUGUAAUUUAGUUGUAUAAGGUGGCUAGGCAAACAGAAAAAGAGCUCAGGUUUAUCUAAGAGAGACAUCAUAGGGUAGAGAUCAAACAUUUUCUCCUAAAUUCUAUGGCAGAAGAUAGAAAACCUUAAGAACUCUUUUACAAAGAAUGUCCUAGGGAAGUACAGAACAGAAUAUAAGGCAGAUGCCUGUGAAACUGUACCGUGGGAAAGGGGCUAGUAGUCAAGCCAAGAAAGGAAAAGACAGCUCGGAAUGCUAUUGAAAAAUACUCCACUAAUGAAAGAAGAGAAAACCGACAUUCACAAUCCCUCUGUAGCCACUGUGAGAGCAGAUGUUCAUGAAGGUUCCUCUCUGCUGGUGGCUUGGCCAACUCUAAUUUAGUCCUUAACUUCAAUCAUGGACACCCUCCAACUCAGUCACCACCUGGGCCCGAAGUCAGUAUUUUAUUUCUCAUUAGGCAUGGGAGGAAAGGAAAUAACUGCUCAUUAACAGUGAAUGAAAUCUUUUAAAAUGAAAUCUUUUAAAAGGUAAGUCUGAUCUGAAAUAGAAAGCCAGCCAUUUGGGUGUCACAAAAUAAGCUUAAUUGGAUCAGCCAGUGUGAGUUUUUUUUAAUCCAUGCAUUCUCCUGAUUAAAUACUUUCAGUGAACGCUUGCUGCUCUAUGGCUGGAAGGACACAUCCCUCCUUGUCUUGCAGGCAGCUGCAGGAACUGGCUUCCCUGCCCCUCUUGCCACAUAUUUGUCCUCCCCGUCAAGCUUCCACAUCAAGCUUCAUCCCCACACAGGGCUUUGGUCUCGCUCUUGCUCUGCCCCAGAUUCCUUGCCUCUUGCCUUUUUUCCAUGACUAGCAUCUUCUCCUCUUUGUUGAAAUGGCCCCUCAGCAGACAGGCUGUUUCUAAUUACCCUACCUACUGCCACUUCCCCAGUUAUUCUUACCCCAGCCUCCUGAAUUUCCAUAACAGCACCACUUUUGAUCUAUCUUUAUUCCGCAUAUUCAUUUCUUUACUUGUUUAUUGCCUGAUUCAUUCAGUAGAAUGAAAACUCCAGAUAACGAAGCACUAGUUAUUCCACCCUCCACCGUACCCACAGGCGACACAGCACUUGUUACAUAGGAGGUACUCAAAAGAUGUUGAUCCAUGAGUGAAGUUAAAUAGUAAUUCAAUCAAAAUGCUUCAUUUUGACAGUGAUUUAAAAAAAAAUUGAUAUAAACUGUUGGCCAGUAUGGACAGGCACCACAUUUAUGGGAUAUUGGAUUUUUCAGCUGAGAUUGGAUUGUCGGCUGUGGACACACUUAUUUUCCUGUACUUACUCUCUGACAACCUUUCUCCAAUGCAAAAUGAUUACAGAUUAUUAAACCCAAUGAGGUUUAGAGUUUCUCUAGUUUUUCUAGGUUUCUGAAGAGAAUGAUAUCAUGGAAAUACUCAAAGAAGCAGUGCAAAAGGUAGGUUCUGAGAGAGAACUUUCGUCUGCAGGUGCUACUGAAAGGGAGCGGUGGAGGGGAUGCCCUGGAGUUCCUGGGGUACUGCCCUCAGGAGAACGCGCUGUGGCCCAACCUGACAGUGAGGCAGCACCUGGAGGUGUACGCCGCCGUGAAAGGGCUGAGGAAAGGAGAUGCUGAGGUUGCCAUCACACGGUACACAGAGGAGCCACCUCUGUUCUAUACCCAAGGGAGGGGUGGAGGAGAAGGUUGGGAGUGACAACCCUCACAGGAAAUUCAGGAUGGGAGACUCUAAAUGCUGACCCAGGUCACACUGGGUAGAUUUACAACUAGAAACUCCUUUCCUGGAUAUCAAAGUGUUAAGUUUCUUUCUCAUAUUAAAUAAGAAAAUUUAAAAAGGCUGGCCGCAGCGGCUCAUGCCUCUAAUCCCAGCACUUUGGGAGGCUGAGGCUGGUGGAUCGCAUCGCUUGAGCUCAUGAGUUUCAGACCAGACUAGGCAACUUGGUGAAACCCCAUCUCUAAAUA
This 3082-nucleotide small RNA is filed under the name Pongo abelii (Sumatran orangutan). RNAcentral's name for it is "retained intron". Lineage: Eukaryota; Metazoa; Chordata; Mammalia; Primates; Hominidae. The record is from RNAcentral.